This 444-nucleotide ribosomal RNA is filed under the name uncultured bacterium. RNAcentral describes it as "partial 16S ribosomal RNA". It matches the Rfam family "Bacterial small subunit ribosomal RNA", at positions 338 to 795 of the family's 1533-position model. The record is from RNAcentral.
CCUACGGGAGGCAGCAGUGGGGAAUAUUGGGCAAUGGAGGCAACUCUUACCCAGCAAUGUCGCGUGAAUGAAGAAGGUCUUCGGAUUGGAAAGCUCUUUUUUUGGGGACGAAAAAAAUGACGGUACUCAAGGAAUAAGCCUAGGCUAACUACGUGCCAGCAGACGCGGUAAUCCGUAGGGUGCAAGCAUUGGUCGGAAUUACUGGGCGUCAAGGGUGUGUAGGUGGUGUAGCAAGUUAGAAGGGAAAUCCCUUGAGCUUAACUCAGGUGCGGCCUCUAAACCUGCUAUACUUGAGUGCAUUAGAGGAAGGUGGAAUUCCUGGUGUAGCAGUGGAAUGCGUAGAUAUUAGGAGGAACAUCAAUGGCGAAGGCGACUUUCUGGACUUUAACUGACGCUGAGGCACGAAAGUGUGGGGAGCAAACAGGAUUAGAUACCCCUGUAGUC